UCUCAGAUCUACCAUUCAGAAAAGUGUGCUGCACUCAGCAUGUCUGUGACGAAUGCUGAAGGACUUCAUUUACUGUAAUGUGCGACGGUUUAAGGACGUCACGGGAUGAUGUUGAAUCGUAUGUAGUAUGAAGUGUACUCUGCUGUUGAAUCAGCCAACAGAGAUGUGAGUGUCUGGAGUGUUUCUGCAUGGCAGCAGCUGGAAGACAGAGGCAAAACAGUACACAGACCUGAGACCAGCUGGGGAGUCCAGCAGCCUUGUAUGGUGAGUCACUGCCAUGUACACCAGUCUACCCACUGGACUUCUGCUGACCAUUAUAUUUACCUGAUUCAGUUGGAUGUGUGCAUCAUCUCUAAAGAAAGACC
This 365-nucleotide long non-coding RNA is filed under the name Astyanax mexicanus (Mexican tetra). RNAcentral describes it as "lncRNA (ENSAMXG00005010023.1)". The record is from RNAcentral. Lineage: Eukaryota; Metazoa; Chordata; Actinopteri; Characiformes; Acestrorhamphidae.